RNAcentral lists this long non-coding RNA (315 nucleotides) under Haliotis rubra (blacklip abalone). RNAcentral describes it as "uncharacterized LOC124277387, transcript variant X2". Lineage: Eukaryota; Metazoa; Mollusca; Gastropoda; Lepetellida; Haliotidae. The record is from RNAcentral.
UGCAAUGAUGCAGUGGAUAAAGGGGAGUAAGUAGUGUACAAUGUUGUAGUGGAUAAAGGAGUAGUAAGUAAGUAGCAUUGUUGUAGUGGAUAAUUGGAGUAAGUAAGGUACAAUGUUGUAGUGGAUAAAGGGAGUAAGUAAGGUGCAAUGUUGUAGUGAAUAAAGGGAGUAAGUAAGGAGCAAUGGUGUAGUGGAUAAAGGAGUAAGUAAGGAGCAAUGAUGCAGUGGAUAAGGGAGUAGGUAAGGUACAAUGUUGUAGUUGAUAAGGGAGUAGGUAAGGUACAAUGUUGUAGUGGAUAAGGGAGGAAGUAAGGU